AUGCCAGAUCCCGACGCGGAGGUGAUCGCGCUGUCGCCCAAGACGCUGAUGGCGACGAACCGGUUCGUGUGCGAGAUCUGCAACAAGGGGUUCCAGCGGGACCAGAACCUGCAGCUGCACCGGCGGGGCCACAACCUGCCGUGGAAGCUCCGGCAGCGGAGCGGCAAGGAGGUGCGCAAGCGGGUGUACGUGUGCCCGGAGCCCAGCUGCGUGCACCACGACGCCUCCCGCGCCCUCGGCGACCUCACCGGCAUCAAGAAGCACUUCUGCCGCAAGCACGGCGAGAAGAAGUGGAAGUGCGACAAGUGCUCCAAGAAGUACGCCGUGCAGUCCGACUGGAAGGCGCACGCCAAGACCUGCGGCUCCCGCGAGUACCGCUGCGACUGCGGCACCCUCUUCUCCCGGAGGGACAGCUUCAUCACCCACCGCGCCUUCUGCGACGCGCUGGCAGAGGAGAGCGCCAAGGCGCGCGCCCCGCCGGCGGAGGACGGGAGCUCCGGCGCUGCUGCCCCGCCUGCUCUACCGCCACCACCAGCCGCUCCGGUGCCACUGCAACAGCUGCCGCCGGCGCCCGCGCCGCAGCAGCACGAGGAGCCAGAGCGGGAGAUCGGCGCCGCCGCGCCUGAGCCUGUCGUCCAGUACACGCCGCCGGCGCCGCUGAUGCCGUCCCCGCCCUCGGUCAACGGCGCCAAUGUCAGUGCCAGCACCAGCAGCGUCGCGGCCACGUCGCAGAGCCUCCUCGGCAGCAUGUUCGCGCCGUCUUCCGUGGCCCAGGCGCCGCAGUACCCGGAGCGCGCGCUGGCGGCCAAGCCCCCGUCGCUGUGCCUCGCGACCGACGCCGCGUCCGCCCAGUUCUCGGCCCCCGCGGCUGACCGGCAGCAGCAGCAGCUCCCACCGCCGUCGCCGUCCCCGUCGGCGCACAUGUCGGCCACGGCGCUGCUGCAGAAGGCGGCGCAGAUGGGCGCCACCUCGUCGAGCUCCUCGUUCCUGCGUGGGCUGGGCCUGGACAUCUCGUCGUCCUCGCCGGCGUCGACGUCGUCCGGUCAGCACCACCACCACCACCACCACCACCACCACCAAGAAGCCAUGCAGAUGCAGUUCCCGGAGGGGUCGCUGCAGCAAUGGCCGCCGCGGUUGGAGCCCGAGCCUGCCCCGAUGAUGUCGGCCGGGCUGGGCCUCGGGCUGCCAUACGACUCGACCGGCGGUCCGAUGGGGCUGCCGGAGCUGAUGAUGGGCCAGUCAUCGCUGUUCAGCGCCAAGCCAGCCACGCUGGACUUCCUAGGACUCGGGAUGAGCCCCACGGGCGCGACGACGAGCAGGGGCCUCCCCGUGUUCAUGCAGCCGAUGGGCGGCGCGGUGGGCAUGGCCCGGAGCGGCACCGGGCCCCCCGACACGUUCGGCGCCGGCCGGGGCGCUCAGGGCAAGCCGUGGGAGAGGAACCCGAGCAGCUCGCCGAUCCUGUAA
This 1464-nucleotide ribosomal RNA is filed under the name Triticum aestivum (bread wheat). RNAcentral's name for it is "partial small subunit ribosomal RNA". The record is from RNAcentral. Lineage: Eukaryota; Viridiplantae; Streptophyta; Magnoliopsida; Poales; Poaceae.